AGCAGUUUCCACCGCAUUAAGCACUCCGCUGGGGGAGUACGACCGCUAGGUUGAAACUCAAGGAAUUGACCGGGGCCCGCACAAGCGGUGGAGCAUGUGGUUUAAUUCGAAGCAACGCGAAGAACCUUACCAGGUCUUGACAUACUCGUGCUAUCCUUAGAGAUAAGGAGUUCCUUCGGGACACGGGAUACAGGUGGUGCAUGGUUGUUGUCAGCUCGUGUCGUGAGAUGUUGGGUUAAGUCCCGCAACGAGCGCAACCCUUAUUACUAGUUGCCAUCAUUAAGUUGGGCACUCUAGUGAGACUGCCGGUGAUAAACCGGAGGAAGGUGGGGAUGACGUCAAAUCAUCAUGCCCCUUAUGACCUGGGCUACACACGUGCUACAAUGGAUGGUACAACGAGUCGCCAACCCGCGAGGGUGCGCUAAUCUCUUAAAACCAUUCUCAGUUCGGAUUGCAGGCUGCAACUCGCCUGCAUGAAGUUGGAAUCGCUAGUAAUCGCGGAUCAGCACGCCGCGGUGAAUACGUUCCCGGGCCUUGUACACACCGCCCGUCUCACAAAGGGUAAGUUGUUUAGUUA
RNAcentral lists this ribosomal RNA (577 nucleotides) under Lactococcus garvieae. RNAcentral describes it as "bacterial SSU rRNA". It matches the Rfam family "Bacterial small subunit ribosomal RNA", at positions 844 to 1423 of the family's 1533-position model. The record is from RNAcentral. Lineage: Bacteria; Bacillati; Bacillota; Bacilli; Lactobacillales; Streptococcaceae.